GGAGGGGUGGCAGAGUGGUCGAUUGCGUCUGAUUCGAAAUCAGAUGAACCGCAAGGUUCCGGGGGUUCGAAUCCCUUCCCCUCCGCCA
Molecule: transfer RNA, 88 nt
Filed under: Opitutales bacterium
Lineage: Bacteria; Pseudomonadati; Verrucomicrobiota; Opitutia; Opitutales
Also listed under: 2 other names
Description: tRNA-Ser
Rfam family: tRNA
About the family: Transfer RNA (tRNA) molecules are approximately 80 nucleotides in length. Their secondary structure includes four short double-helical elements and three loops (D, anti-codon, and T loops).
Source: RNAcentral